Molecule: ribosomal RNA, 253 nt
Filed under: uncultured bacterium
Lineage: Bacteria
Description: partial 16S ribosomal RNA
Rfam family: Bacterial small subunit ribosomal RNA
Source: RNAcentral
UACGUAGGGGGCAAGCGUUGUCCGGAAUCAUUGGGCGUAAAGCGCGUGUAGGCGGCCCGAUUAGUCCGCUGUGAAAGUCCAGGGCUCAACCCUGGGAUGCCGGUGGAUACUGUCGGGCUCGAGUCCGGAAGAGGUGAGUGGAAUUCCUAGUGUAGAGGUGAAAUUCGUAGAUAUUAGGAAGAACACCAGUGGCGAAGGCAGCACUCUGGGACGGUACUGACGCUGAGACGCGAAAGCGUGGGGAGCAAACAGG